Monodelphis domestica (gray short-tailed opossum) is the source of this 1109-nucleotide non-coding RNA. Lineage: Eukaryota; Metazoa; Chordata; Mammalia; Didelphimorphia; Didelphidae. The record is from RefSeq and is a predicted model, not a curated record.
CUCCUCUGUCACUAGAUGAAUUCUACUUUUUUUUUAAAUAGAUUCAGUACAAAUUUUUCCUCUAAAGUCUGGAGUCAACCAAUUUACUCCCCCUAAUUUUUCACAAAGAUCUCUUCCUACUCAAAGUUCACAGUCCUCAGUGUCACUGCCCUAAAGCCAGGGAAUUUAACUCCUUCCUGGAAGGUAAGCCCUCCAGGUAGAAUUCAUUAAGAAAGUUACUCCCUAAGGCACUGUCCAGUGAAAAUAGAAAAGGAAUUGAAAUCAAGAGGCCUGAAUUCAAAUACAGCUCUGCAACUUUAAAACUUAGGACCCAGGGAAAGUCUAUAAAUAAUCACACUAGAACCAUGAAUGAUUAUAGUGUGAGGACUAAGUACUAUAAAUUCCUUCAUCUUAUCUCUCUGUUUUUUUAUUGUUCAGUUUUAGACCUGUCUAACUCCUUGUGAGCCCUUUUAAGAUGUUCUUGGCAAAGCUACUGAAGGAUUUGUCCUUUCCUUUUCCAGAUCACUGAACAGAUAAGAAAACUGAGGCCAACAAAGCAACUUGCCUGGAAUCACACAACUAAUUUGUUUAUGCAAAACUGACUCUUUUGGAAAAUGAUGGAAUCAGAGAUUGGAGCUCAAAACAAUCAUCAGCAAACAUCUAGCCAAACUUCAACAUUAGGAAACUGUGGCUUAAAUGGAAUGAUGAGCAGGAUUCCUGAAAAACUUGGACCCACUUACGUGAACUGAUGGACAGAACUUGGAACAUUGUUAUGCAGCAACAGCAAUAUUCUAAGAUGAUCAGCUACAAUAAUGUCUUAGCUAUUCUCAGCAAUACAAUGAUGUAAGGUAAUGCCAAAGGACUCAUGAAAAAUAUUAUCCACCUGCAGAGAAAGAACUACUGGACUGUGAAUAUAGAUCAAAGCACACAAUUUUUCACUUUAUUUUCUUCAUAUUUUUUGUUGUUGUUGUUGUUGAUUUUUAGGUCUUCUUCCACAACACAACCAAUAUGGAAAUAUGUUUUGCAUGCUUGCACAUGUAUGACCUAGAUCAAACUGCUUACUAUCUCAGGGAGGAAAUAGAGAAGGGUGAAACUCAAAGAUUAAUGUUACAAAUUGUUAUUAUAUAUAA